Coturnix japonica (Japanese quail) is the source of this 321-nucleotide non-coding RNA. Lineage: Eukaryota; Metazoa; Chordata; Aves; Galliformes; Phasianidae. The record is from RefSeq and is a predicted model, not a curated record.
GCAGCGUUUCACUGGCUCAUCUAUAGGUUCCCAUCUCUGUUCAGUUGUACAAACAUAAUGGAACCAAUCAGAAUUUAUAUCCUCGAUACCCUGAAAAAAGACAGUGACGACACCAGCAGCAGCAGCCAGGUUUUGUACACCAUCCAACAGGAAUGUGUUCCAUUCAGUGAGCUGGGAAAUGAGCUCUUACAGCACACAGCACACUGCGAGCCCCCUGCCAGCUGGCUGCUGGAUCUGCACGGGUUGUGGAGCACAGCAUUUUCCUCUGCAUUUGGCACAGCUUUGCAAGCAUUUGAUGAUUAAAAAAUAAUUAGAGCGCCA